UGACUACAUAGCUUUAGUUAAAGGGUAACCUAUGCAUCUUUGAAACAUAGCAAUGUCUCAGUGAGGAGUGAAUGGUUGCUAUUGUAAAAUAAAGCAUAAUAUUUGAGCGGUAACUGUUACUUUAAAAGAAUAUGAGGACAAAUAAAGGAAAAUAUCUUUAGAAGAAAAUAAAAGGUUGCUCUAUGGCUGGUACGAUCUAUCAAUAGUUAUUCAGCUAUGUUCUUUUAUCACUCUUAGAAUGAAGUACCUUUAGAUGAGGGUUUUGAAUUUUUUACAUCAACUUUUGAAGACCACUCCAAUAUGAAAGAACUUGAUACAAAUGUUGGACAGAAAUCAACAGAAGGCUGCAUUCAAAACAUCUGUAGCUUAAAUGAGCAAACUCCACUGCUUAUCCAUGUGAAAGAAAUGUUGACAGAAUUACUUGAAGUAAAAUCUCCUGCCUGUAAUUUCAAUAAAGUAGACAAGGAAAAAGGAUGGAACCAACUCUUUAUUCCAAGCACAUCACCAGGUGAUAUAAAUUUCCAAAGAUAAUAUAACAUUGAUACUGUUUUAUAGACAUAAAUAUAAAUAUUAUGUC
This 577-nucleotide long non-coding RNA is filed under the name Naja naja (Indian cobra). RNAcentral describes it as "lncRNA (ENSNNAG00000018190.1)". The record is from RNAcentral. Lineage: Eukaryota; Metazoa; Chordata; Lepidosauria; Squamata; Elapidae.